CUCCCUUUUCCUCACCAGCAGGGGGCUCCGGCAGCCCACAGACGGGGGACUUGCUCCUCCUCAGGGACCGUCUGGACCAGGCGACAAGUUUCAAGACGCCCGCCCGGGUGAAGAUGCUCUAGAAGGACGUGUUGGCUUCGGGAGGGGAAGGAGGGUGCCUGUCGAGCCCCAAUCGCAAAGUUUUUGCUCCCUCCCCUUCCGCCGGGGCCAGGGAGCGAGAGGCUCUGGGAGGAAAGGAGGAAGAGGCGGUUUACUGAAUUGGGAACAGGGGACUGAUGGGAUGUGUGAUGGUCAGACCUGAGCUUUAGGGAGUCGCCUUGGCGAAUUGGAUGAAUUGGUUGGAGCCUGGAGACCCGGAGUGCCCACUGCUAGAUCCCCUCCACCAUACUGUAGUAGAGCUCCUCUAGGCCAGGAGAGGGGCGAGGAGGGUUUGUACCACAGGGGUGGCUGUGUGGGUCAGGGAUGAGUCGAUGAGUCACUUCCACAAACUCAGCAAAGAUUUCUCCUUCCUGGGAUUCGGUUUCCUCACCAUAAAAGGAGAUUUUGGUCAUGUUUGGCUCUUUGGGAUCUUCCUGGCACAGAUACUGGACUGAUUCACUAUUUCUUUCUCCAGCUGAUUUGACAGGGGAGGAAACUGAGGCAAAUAGGGUUAGGUGACUUGCCCAGGGUCACCUGUGUCUGAACUCAUAUUUGAACUCAGGACCUCCCAUCUCUAGGCCUGGCUCUUACUCUACUGAGCUAUCCAGCUGCCCCUCCAAAUCUAUAAUUUUAGAACAGGAAGGAUCAGGGGCAUUUAGAAGCCAUUCAGGGCCAAGGAGGUCGGGCCAUGGGCCGUUCAGAAGCCUCCUUCAUUAUUGUGCCACCUCCUCCCUUGUCAGGAGUCCAGGGCCUGAAGCCCCUCUAAUCCUAUAAACAAAUUCCAUGUAAAGCCCCAAUAGAACAUGCACAAAAAAUCUGGUUCAAAUUAAACCCUCCAUCUGCCAUUGCCGGGGGCUCUGAGAGUUUCCCCGUGACCUGGAGCUCACUGAGGCGGAAACUGGCAUCUCUGGAUC
This 1052-nucleotide long non-coding RNA is filed under the name Monodelphis domestica (gray short-tailed opossum). RNAcentral's name for it is "lncRNA (ENSMODG00000040186.1)". The record is from RNAcentral. Lineage: Eukaryota; Metazoa; Chordata; Mammalia; Didelphimorphia; Didelphidae.